This 63-nucleotide microRNA precursor is filed under the name Ascaris suum (pig roundworm). RNAcentral describes it as "Asu-Mir-750_pre stem-loop". The record is from RNAcentral. Lineage: Eukaryota; Metazoa; Nematoda; Chromadorea; Rhabditida; Ascarididae.
AGUUGGAGGUUAGAUCUCGGGCAGAGCAUAUUCGGUUAUGCCAGAUCUAUUACUUCCAACUGA